GACGAACGCUGGCGGCGUGCUUAACACAUGCCAGUCGAACGGAAAGGCCCUGCUUUUGUGGGGUGCUCGAGUGGCGAACGGGUGAGUAGUACGUGAGUAACCUGCCCUUGACUUUGGGAUAACUUCAGGAAACUGGGGCUAAUACCGGAUAGGAGCUCCUGCUGCAUGGUGGGGGUUGGAAAGUUUCGGCGGUUGGGGAUGGACUCGCGGCUUAUCAGCUUGUUGGUGGGGUAGUGGCUUACCAAGGCUUUGACGGGUAGCCGGCCUGAGAGGGUGACCGGCCACAUUGGGACUGAGAUACGGCCCAGACUCCUACGGGAGGCAGCAGUGGGGAAUAUUGCACAAUGGGCGGAAGCCUGAUGCAGCAACGCCGCGUGCGGGAUGACGGCCUUCGGGUUGUAAACCGCUUUCGCCUGUGACGAAGCGUGAGUGACGGUAAUGGGUAAAGAAGCACCGGCUAACUACGUG
This 468-nucleotide ribosomal RNA is filed under the name uncultured bacterium. Its description in RNAcentral is "partial 16S ribosomal RNA". It matches the Rfam family "Bacterial small subunit ribosomal RNA", at positions 28 to 507 of the family's 1533-position model. The record is from RNAcentral.